RNAcentral lists this ribosomal RNA (253 nucleotides) under uncultured bacterium. RNAcentral describes it as "partial 16S ribosomal RNA". It matches the Rfam family "Bacterial small subunit ribosomal RNA", at positions 524 to 776 of the family's 1533-position model. The record is from RNAcentral.
UACGAAGGGGGCUAGCGUUGCUCGGAAUUAUUGGGCGUAAAGGGCGCGUAGGCGGCCAUGCGUGUCUUCCGUGAAAUCCCUCGGCUUAACCGAGGACGUGCGGAAGAAACUGCAAGGCUCGAGUCCGGAAGAGGGGGGCGGAAUUCCCAGUGUAGCGGUGAAAUGCGUAGAUAUUGGGAGGAACACCAGUGGCGAAGGCGGUCCCCUGGGCCGGAACUGACGCUGAGGCGCGAAAGCGUGGGUAGCAAACAGG